Molecule: long non-coding RNA, 1036 nt
Organism: Schistocerca gregaria
Lineage: Eukaryota; Metazoa; Arthropoda; Insecta; Orthoptera; Acrididae
Exons: 2
Source: RefSeq, a predicted model, not a curated record
UGAAAGUAAAAGACAGUGAAAUUCAACUGUGCACCUGUCGACUACAUUAUUUACAGUAGUCAGUAUCAAAUUACAAUCCCCUACUUCAGCCAGUAUGUCAACACCAAGGACAACAAAUGAAGGAAUAAAAGCCGGUUUAACUGCUACAUAUGGUACCCCAAGUGAGGAAUAUUGUACAUAGCCACAAUAAAACAAGGACUCGCGAACUUUGAAAAGUGAAAUCAACAGCGGGGUACAGUGAAGAGAUGCUACAGCCAAUCAGUGCUAAGGUUUCAUGGCCACAGUAUGACAGCAGCCAAGCAGUGAGUGGGUUCUGUGUAAACAGCCAUUGAGUACUUGACCAGCUAAGCAGCACAUGGGUGGACAUAGCUGAUCGAGAUAACCAAGAUGCUUCGCCGGGAGAUCUACAACUUGCCGCAGCCAUGCAGACGAUGGACCAAGUUGACAACCGUAACAGCAGCAGCAGCAGAAGAAGAGUGAAUGAGAACAAGAGAAGAACCACAUCCAAGCCAACUGAUCACAGUGCAUUUCCUUACAGCCACAUGGACCUGUUGAAGGUGUGGACAGCUUGGCGACAAAGUGUGUAAAAGAUAAUUAAAAGUGUGAAUUUGCAACCCGUGAGGAUUUAUUAUCUGAAGCAAGACAGGACUUGUAUCAAAUGAUAUGUAUCUUUAAAUUUAAUUUUCAUUUUCCCAAAAUGGACAUCACCUUUGAUGAAGAUGCAUAAUUUUUGUUAAAAGUACAGCUACUAGAUAUUGUGUGAUAUUGUACAACAAGUCACUGUGUGUAAUUAUUUUUUAUGGGGAUUUUCGUAUGGCCAGUUCAUAUAAGUUAGAUUUUGAAAAACAUAUGUACUGUAGUUUUUGAUAAGAUUUCCUGUUGUGGCUUCGAUAGAUCACAUCGACUACAUAAAGAAUGAUCUUUGAACUCUAACUGCUCUGAUGAGCCGCCAUGUUACUGUACCAGUCAGCCUUUGUACCUUGUACAGUGUACACGUGUAUCUUUCUUUGUGCUGAAAUAUAUGUAUGUAUAGACA